Molecule: transfer RNA, 71 nt
Filed under: Marmota marmota marmota (Alpine marmot)
Lineage: Eukaryota; Metazoa; Chordata; Mammalia; Rodentia; Sciuridae
Also listed under: 1 other name
Rfam family: tRNA
About the family: Transfer RNA (tRNA) molecules are approximately 80 nucleotides in length. Their secondary structure includes four short double-helical elements and three loops (D, anti-codon, and T loops).
Source: Rfam by way of RNAcentral
GCGGUUGUGGCUCAGUGGUAGAGCACUCACCCAGCAUGGGUGAGGCACUGGGUUUGAUCCCCAGCACCACA